UUUCUUUGCUGGCGACCGGCGCACGGGUGAGUAACACGUAUCCAACCUGCCCUUUACUCGGGGAUAGCCUUUCGAAAGAAAGAUUAAUACCCGAUGGCAUAAUGAUUCCGCAUGGUUUCAUUAUUAAAGGAUUCCGGUAAAGGAUGGGGAUGCGUUCCAUUAGGUUGUUGGUGAGGUAACGGCCCACCAAGCCUCCGAUGGAUAGGGGUUCUGAGAGGAAGGUCCCCCACAUUGGAACUGAGACACGGUCCAA
Molecule: ribosomal RNA, 253 nt
Filed under: uncultured bacterium
Lineage: Bacteria
Description: partial 16S ribosomal RNA
Rfam family: Bacterial small subunit ribosomal RNA
Source: RNAcentral